Fukomys damarensis (Damara mole-rat) is the source of this 314-nucleotide unclassified non-coding RNA. Its record names the gene 7SK. It matches the Rfam family "7SK RNA". From Rfam's summary of the family: 7SK was discovered as an abundant small nuclear RNA in the mid-70s but a possible function has only recently been suggested. NCBI's taxonomy places the organism in Eukaryota, Metazoa, Chordata, Mammalia, Rodentia, Bathyergidae. The record is from Ensembl.
GGAUGUGAGGGUAAUCUGGCUGCAACAUCUGUCAUCCCAUUGAUUGCCAGGAUUGAUUCGGCUGAUCUGGCUGCUAGACUGCUGUUCCUUUCCUCCCUCAUUGCUCCAUGUGCUUCCCUCCUGAAGCUGCACUUGGUUUAAGAGGAUGGUCACGCCCAUAGAGGAGGCCCAUUGUUUCCUCCAUCAAGGGUAUAGGAGUUGCCGCACUCCCCUGCUAGACCCUCCAAACAAGCUCUCAAGAGUGAAGUUCCCUGGCUUUUGCCCUCCUCCAAUCUAUACCUGAAACCUUAAUUAGCAGAAAGAUAUAUUUAAUG